Molecule: ribosomal RNA, 110 nt
Filed under: Salvator merianae (Argentine black and white tegu)
Lineage: Eukaryota; Metazoa; Chordata; Lepidosauria; Squamata; Teiidae
Source: RNAcentral
GUCUUUAGGCUGUCCCUCACCAAUCUUGCCUGAGCUUGGAAUCUAAGCAAGAUCAGGCCUCAUUCAUACUUGUAUGAGAGACUGCCUGGUAAUAUAAGGCUCUGUAGAAA